CUACAAUUUGCAUAUACAUCUACAUUACAAUGACAAAGGCAACUCAGAAGGUUCCUCAUGAUCUGAUUCAUCCAAGAAAUAGGGACAAGUAUAAAAUGCAAGGCAAGGAAGCAGAAGGUGUGGGAGGAAAACCAGUUCCAGGCUAGAAAUUCAGAUGUUGAGAUGGACCAGAAACUUCAGUCAAUUGUCACCACGGAUCUCCUUACACUUAAACAUUGAGGGACUUUUUCCCAUGUACUGCUGCAAGUGCUUCAAUGUUUUGGUGAAAGAAGAUCCAGCCACCCAAUGCAAUGCCAAAGUUCUCCAAUUGCCUAGGAACAUGGACCUUUUCUGCAGUAUGCAUUUGGAUUCUUUUAGAUGCUUUUAAUGAUCAACAUUAAUGACCAAGGCUAAUGGAAUAGGAUCAGUUUCUGCACUAGCUUAUAUACACCAGAAGAAAAAAGUGGCUCCACUGCCUUCCACUCUACAUGGAUGGCCAAUGACAUUUAUCAGCUCUGAACACAAAAAACAGAUCUGUUCCAAUUCAUUUCUGGAUUUCAUACCAUGCAGCAAGAAGAAUCAUCAGAUCAAAAUUUUGGUCCAGUCAGGCUGUGAUCCAAGGACAGCUUGUCCAAGCUACACUCAUUAAUGGCUGAGCAAAGAGGCUGAAAACAAACCUAAGCAAUUAUAACAACAAUGGAGUGCGGGUGUAGCUUGUUUACAUAGCGCUCAUUAUCUCUAGUUACACCAGCGCAGCUAAUUACAGGGGAAUUAGUAAAAAUUGGUUAAAAAGACUUGCCGCAAUAAAAUAAAAUGUAGAUUUUUAAGUGAAAAGAAUAGGCAAAAUUUAUUUUUAAAUAAUAUAUUUUGCUCAAGUUGAAAUGGGGUAAAUAUUAACCAUUUAACUACUGAAGUCUUCCUUGCCACAGUAGAAAAGAACAGUCCAACGCCCCAUGAUGAAGGCUGGAAGACAUUUGGAGCAAUUUAUCAACACUGAACAAAUUUGCAACUGGGUAGUAACUGAUUGAAAGAAAUUAAAUGUUUGCUUUUAUUGUUCCACUUGCAACUAGCUGAAAAAGCUGAUCACUGACUGGAUGCUAUAGAUUACUGCCCAGGAAGAAAUUUGACAGUGUUGAUAAUUGAUCCCCAGAGUGUGGACAACCAGACAGAAGAAACAAAAUAUUUAUGUACAGUACAUUUUACAAGACAUGUGUUGUCUUAUAAAAAGACAAGCUUUUAAUGUAAAAAUAUGUAAAAUUAUUGUCGGAUUCAUUGUCGUUGUAGACGUAAAUUAUUUUAUAUUUUUUUCACACUCAAUAUGCACAUUUCCACUUCUGAAAACUGUUCUUAAAUGCACGGUGAAAGGACUUACUUUGAAAGUACUCUCAGAGGUAUAACCUCUUCUCCAACUCUGUGUCUUUCUUUAUGCUUCCUCGUCCGCUUCCUCUUCAUUUUUGGCACAGACAUUUCUUUCUUAUCUGCUGCAUCCUUCUCUUCUUCUGUAGAGACCUCUGUUUCAACCAUGAUCAACAAGAUGCAAAAACUAUUAUGCAACACUUCAUUCAUUAAAUUGCACAGGUGAUAAA
Xenopus laevis (African clawed frog) is the source of this 1565-nucleotide long non-coding RNA. RefSeq lists it as uncharacterized. The record is from RefSeq and is a predicted model, not a curated record. The transcript is spliced from 3 exons. NCBI's taxonomy places the organism in Eukaryota, Metazoa, Chordata, Amphibia, Anura, Pipidae.